UACGGAAGGCAGCAGUGGGGAAUAUUGCACAAUGGGCGAAAGCCUGAUGCAGCUAUGCCGCGUGUAUGAAGAAGGCCUUAGGGUUGUAAAGUACUUUCAUCGGGGAGGAAAAAACAAAACUAAUAAUUUUAUUUCUUGACGUUACCCGAAAAAGAAGCACCGGCUAACUCCGUGCCAGCAGCCGCGGUAAUACGGAGGGUGCUAGCGUUAAUCAGAAUUACUGGGCGUAAAGAGCACGUAGGUGGUUUUUUUAAAGUCAGAUGUGAAAUCCCUGGGCUUAACCUGGAACUGCAUUUUGAAACUGAAAUACUAGAGUAUCGUAGAGGGAGGUAGAAUUCUAGGUGUAGCGGUGAAAUGCGUAGAUAUCUGGAGGAAUACCUGUGGCGAAAGCGGCCUCCUAAACGAAUACUGACACUGAGGUGCGAAAGCGUGGGGAGCAAACAGGAUUAGAUACC
RNAcentral lists this ribosomal RNA (455 nucleotides) under uncultured bacterium. RNAcentral's name for it is "bacterial SSU rRNA". It matches the Rfam family "Bacterial small subunit ribosomal RNA", at positions 340 to 786 of the family's 1533-position model. The record is from RNAcentral.